GCAAUGCCGCGUGCAGGAUGAAGGCCUUCGGGUUGUAAACUGCUUUUGUACGGAACGAAACGGUGAGCUCUAAUACAGCUUGCUAAUGACGGUACCGUAAGAAUAAGCACCGGCUAACUACGUGCCAGCAGCCGCGGUAAUACGUAGGGUGCGAGCGUUAAUCGGAAUUACUGGGCGUAAAGCGUGCGCAGGCGGUGAUGUAAGACAGAUGUGAAAUCCCCGGGCUCAACCUGGGACCUGCAUUUGUGACUGCAUCGCUAGAGUACGGUAGAGGGGGAUGGAAUUCCGCGUGUAGCAGUGAAAUGCGUAGAUAUGCGGAGGAACACCGAUGGCGAAGGCAAUCCCCUGGACCUGUACUGACGCUCAUGCACGAAAGCGUGGGGAGCAAACAGGAUUAAAUACCCUGGUAGUCCACGCCCUAAACGAUGUCAACUGGUUGUUGGGUCUUCACUGACUCACUAACGAAGC
This 468-nucleotide ribosomal RNA is filed under the name Comamonadaceae bacterium. RNAcentral's name for it is "bacterial SSU rRNA". It matches the Rfam family "Bacterial small subunit ribosomal RNA", at positions 391 to 852 of the family's 1533-position model. The record is from RNAcentral. Lineage: Bacteria; Pseudomonadati; Pseudomonadota; Betaproteobacteria; Burkholderiales; Comamonadaceae.